This 385-nucleotide ribosomal RNA is filed under the name uncultured bacterium. RNAcentral's name for it is "bacterial SSU rRNA". It matches the Rfam family "Bacterial small subunit ribosomal RNA", at positions 370 to 772 of the family's 1533-position model. The record is from RNAcentral.
AAUGGGGGAAACCCUGACGCAGCAACGCCGCGUGAGUGAUGAAGGUCUUCGGAUUGUAAAACUCUGUCUUCAGGGACGAUAAUGACGGUACCUGAGGAGGAAGCCACGGCUAACUACGUGCCAGCAGCCGCGGUAAUACGUAGGUGGCAAGCGUUGUCCGGAUUUACUGGGCGUAAAGAGUAUGUAGGCGGAUAUUUAAGUCAGAUGUGAAAUUCCCGGGCUUAACCUGGGAGCUGCAUUUGAUACUGGAUGUCUAGAGUGCAGGAGAGGAAAGUGGAAUUCCUAGUGUAGCGGUGAAAUGCGUAGAGAUUAGGAAGAACACCAGUGGCGAAGGCGACUUUCUGGACUGUAACUGACGCUGAGAUACGAAAGCGUGGGGAGCAAA